Lotus japonicus is the source of this 3132-nucleotide long non-coding RNA. RefSeq lists it as uncharacterized. The record is from RefSeq and is a predicted model, not a curated record. Lineage: Eukaryota; Viridiplantae; Streptophyta; Magnoliopsida; Fabales; Fabaceae. The transcript is spliced from 3 exons.
AUCAGAUUCCCCUUUUCUCUCACUCUAUUCUCCCACUCUCCCUCACGCGUUCCCUCACUCACGCUCUCCCUCAACCUCUCGACUCUUUCUCUCUUCCUCUCCAAACCCAUUUUCUUCUUCUUCUGAUACAGCAACAAGAGUUAUCACCAUCACCAUGUUUCCCUUCUCCCUCUCACACCAUCCACCACCGCACCCUCCUCACGCGAGCCCGCAGCCAACCACCGCCACCACCGCGAGCCAAAACGCCACCACCACGCGUUUUUCUCCUCUGGUUCCUCAACCACGACCAGCACCAGUACCACCGUGAGUCCCUCUCCUCCAUGGCUGCAACCACCACGAGCUCCAGCCACCACAGACGUGAAAAAUAAGGAAAAUGAAAACCCUAAAACCGCCACCUUUCAACUCCGAUCUCCGGCGAACCACUGAGUUUUUUGAGAAACCAACCACACCAUGGAACUCCCCUCAACGUGCGCUACAAAACCCCUAAAGAAAUUUUGGAUUCCGACCAGCUUCGCCGGAAACCGCCGCCAGCCACCGUGACCACCGUCUUCUCCGGCCAACCUUCGCCGGAGAUGUCACUGAACUCAGAACCAGGAAGCUCUCCUCCUCCUCUUGCUGAAUUGAUUAUAAAUUUUGGUGUUGUUCAACAUUCAUGGUCCUCAGAGGAAGGCAGAAACUGUUGUUAGAGAGGAUGAAGAAGCAAUACAGAACCUUAGCCAUGAGGCUUAAGGUAGAAAACGAAAUAUUUUUCUGUUUUGGGUAUUGUUUUAAUUCUUGUAGGGGCUGAAAAUGUUUUUGAAAAUGUAAGGGUAUUUGAGAUGGUUAAUCUCUAGUUAGUUCUGUUGUUUAUGUAUAGAUUAAUUCUGAAUGAGCAUGGGUUCGAUAUUAGAUUAGGAGAAGUUUAUGCUGCUGUUGGCCUGUGAUUAUAGUAGCUGCUGUUCUGUCAAAUACGUAGGUUUAAUGACCGAAUUUGAAGAAGUAGUCUUCAUAAGAAUUGUAGCAUUUUCUGUUAUCAAACUUUUUCCACUGGUUUCAUGUAAUUUCAAUUUUCUAUAGCUCAAGUUAUACGCAUUUUAGUGAGCACGGGUUAAGCUGUCCUGUUUCUCACGAACUGCUGUCGUAUUCGAUUUUUCCUGAAUUUUGUACUUCGAAUUUGGACUUGAACAUUUAUGAGGAUUUACAAAACUUGUAGAUGAAGCCAGGAUAAAAAUAUUAGAUUUUUCGGAGUUUAUUUGACGUAUUUAAAAAUUAGCUAAAGUCGUUGUACAGUUGAUGUUCGUUUUGACAAAAUCACUUAUUUCAAGCGAAAAGUGUUGUUUAUGGAAAAGUUUGAGAAAACCUUUCAUUUUAAAAUCAUAUUACAAUGUUUGGAGUAGGAAAACAUCUUUCGAAACUUACUUACGUAUGUUGUUUAUUCGUUUAUGAAAAUCAAGAACGUUCGAGUCUUUACGCACAUUUAUUCGUUAAAAAGUGAUUGCGAAAAGUUUUGAAAGUCGAACGAGUUUUUUUGAGUGUUAUAGAAUAAGUGUUCGAAUAUUACCUCAUUGUUAAUGGAUGCUUAGGAAUAACAUGAUUGGAUAGAGAUAGAACAAUUAAGUUUGGAUUUCCGAGUGAGGAAUUAGACUUCGAAAGGUAUUAAUUAGAAUUGAUUAAGUUGUGAUGAAAAUCUUGAUGUUGGAAGAUGACUUAGGAUUGAAUCUUGAAUUCCAAGAAGUUUAUGAGCUUUACUAUAAAUACUUGACUUUAGAGGGUCUAGAUUUGAAACUUUGGAAGUUCUAGGACUUAGAAGUAAUUAAGGGAUUAAUUGAGGACUAGAACCUGUUUCUUAGAGAUUGAGGACUUAUCUAUAAGUUUGGAAUUUUUGUAGAACCAAAGUGAAGUUUCGAAGAGACUAGGGUUUUGUGUCUAACGAGAUAUCACGAGUUUAAGAUUAAGAGAAAUGAUUCAAUCGUUUUGAAGGAGCUUAUGAGUCUUGAAUAAGUACAUGAUCAUUAGAUAAGAAGAGUUGUUUGUCUUGGAAGUUAACUAUGGUUUAUGGAUUUCUUUAUAAGAGUUAGUGAAUUUGAUAAGAAUUGAUAAUGAUAUGGUGUUCGACUUGAGGUAUCGAUUGCGAGGGUGACGUUGAGACGUUAAGUUGUUGUAAGUGAUUUGAUAAGUAAUCUUGAGGAUAAAGAGAUUAACUUAGGAAGAUGAUGGGAUAAUGUCGUUGCGCGAUGUUGUGUUAAUUGAUUUAGCAAGAAGCUUUGCGUACCUAUUAUUGUGAAAAGCCUCAAUGAGUAUCCUAAUAGAGAUUGAGAACUCUAAGGAAAACGAGAGGAAUAAGUAUUCGUCAUGUGAACUUUUCUACUUUAGCAAAGGUAUAUGAUUUGGUUUUAAAAUCGUUUCAGUAAGUCAACAGCUUUUGAAGCAUCUUAAAUUGUGUUAUUGUUUGUUGUCAUUAUUACGACUUGUCUUGAUCUCUGAAAUUGAUCCUAAUGGGUUAUAACCAUUAUGGGGAUUAGGUUUAACAUACGUUCGCUUCGAGUCAAAUGCCUGAAGUCAUAGUUUAGACUUUGAGUCAGUAGGUUAGCUCAAAUAGUAAUUAUGUUAUGUGUACUCAUGAAGGGUACGAAUGACGGGAGCGCUUGACGACGAAGCUAAAGAAUAAAAGGAAGCGAACUGACACGAGAAAGCAAAGAUGUGUUGGGAUUGAAAUUGUAGUUAGUAUGAGAAUUGGCUAAGACAACGAUAGGUGGUGAUGCGAGCAGAUGCUACUCCAUGUCGAAGAACUAUAGAAGACUCGAAGAAUAGAGUCGGGUGUAAGGCUAUAGCCUUUUGGGUAAAGAGCUUAUCAUUGUUGGUUAAAGCUUAUAGGAUUAUUUUAUAAGUAUUGUUUGAAGUUUUGGGUAGGUUCCGGUGCAUUGCUAUCUUGCGAUUCUCCGAUGUGGAAAUCGUAGGGAGUAUAUCGGAUUUAUGAGUCAUUGUAUAAUAUAUUCCUCGUUGAAUCUAAUUCUAUUCGUUAGGUUUGUAAGUUGGGUUCAUCUGUUGUUACUUCCGGGUACUUGCCUUGUUUAAGGCUGGAUGUAAAUUUAAAUACAGUUGGGAGUAUGAACUUCAUGAUUUAGAAAUACUUUGAAAAUGAAAAAAAAAUAC